Molecule: RNA transcript, 2414 nt
Organism: Gossypium raimondii (Peruvian cotton)
Lineage: Eukaryota; Viridiplantae; Streptophyta; Magnoliopsida; Malvales; Malvaceae
Gene name: transcription factor TCP2
Exons: 5
Source: RefSeq, a predicted model, not a curated record
UGUCGUUCCCGAUAUCUUCACUUGAAGCCUCUCAUAUAUUCACAAGAACACCUUCGCUUGCAAAUAUCUUCUUCUCUUCCUUCCUUACCACUUCCAAUUUUCUUGGAUUUUUUUUUUCCAUUUUUUGUCCUAAAACUUCUCUUCUAACAACUCAACCCUAGUUUUGCUGGAGCUAGCUAAAUGGAGAUGUGACCAAGGAAAAGUAAAAGAAAAAAAAAUUACAAAGAAUUGCUAGCAACCAUUCUUUCUCUCUCUCUCUCUGUCUCUCUCUCUCUCUCUCUCUCUCUCUCUCUUUUUGAAAGCCAAAGAAAAUUCCAAGGUACCCGAUCUGUUUAGAAGUGAAGCUAAUUUCUUCGAUCGAAGCAGCUGUUGGAAGAGUUGCAGAUCUGUUGUGUGGCUUUGGAUUCUAUAAAACAUCUGUUUUUGUUUUAUUUUUUUGUCUGAGAACUGGACUCCUAUAACAACAACCAACGUUGUUCAAAACUGUGGCUGCCAUUUUUCAGGCUAUGCUUUUGAAAGUACUGAAGCUGCAAAAGGCUUAAACGAGAGAGAGAGAGAGAGAGAGAGAGAGAGAGAGAGGGAAGGCUGGUCUCCUGACUUGGACCGUAUAUCAAAGCGUAAGAAAGGUCCUUUAUCACUAAACACAGCCGAACUACUGUCUAUGCAAUCGUCAUCAAUGCAUAGGACAUGUCAACCCCGUCUUUCUAACAUUUCUCCAAAAUCCCAGAUUUUCUGUCUUUCUCUUUAAAGCUGAGAUAGAAGGUAUAUUGUUUGGGGUAGGUGAGGUUUUGAGUUUCUGAGAAAGCAAUGAAAGUAGUAUGGAGAUAGAUGAGAUUCAGACACAACAAGGUUCUAAGUUCUCAAGAGUUGGUAAUGGGAGAAGUGAGUCGAGCAGGAUGGGUCAGAAAGGUAGUGACAACUACUACCCUGAUGAUGAAGAAGGUAGAGAGGUCAUGAAAAGGGCUAGUGCAAAUGGAGGUGGAGGUGAUGCUCUAGCUGACACCGCUGCUGCUAAUCGGCUUCGAGGCUGGCACCAUUCUUCGAGAAUUAUUAGGGUUUCUCGAGCCUCGGGUGGGAAAGAUCGGCACAGCAAGGUUUGGACUUCAAAAGGGUUGAGGGAUAGGAGGGUAAGGUUAUCUGUCACCACAGCUAUACAGUUUUAUGAUCUACAAGACCGGUUGGGCUAUGAUCAGCCUAGUAAAGCAAUAGAGUGGCUGAUUAAAGCAGCUGCUGAUGCAAUUGCGGAGCUUCCUUCACUUAACACUUCAUUUCCUGAUACCCCAAGGCAAUUGAGUGAUGAUGGAACUGAACAAGGGUUUGACUCGGCUGAAGUAGAGUUAGAUGGCGAUCCGAAUAAUUACCAAGAAAACCAAAGUCAGCAGCACCUUUCCUUGUCCAAAUCAGCUUGCAGUAGCACGUCCGAGAUUAGCAAGAACUCGGGUUUAUCCCUUUCCAGGUCUGAGAACCGUGUAAAAGCCCGGGAACGGGCAAGGGGAAGAGUAGCAAAAGAAAAGGGGAAAGAGCAAAAGACUGACAUUGCACAUCAACAAAAUGUGAACCCCAUUUCUCACAACUCUUCCUUCACUGAGUUACUAACCUGUGGCAUUGGCAGUGUUAGCAACAAUCACACUAGUCCUAGUCCUACCGCUUCAGCUCGUCAAAACCCCAGGCAGUGGCCUGUCACUCAAAUGGAUUACUUUACAAUGGGGCUCCUUGGACCUUCUUCUUCGAGAAACCAAUCUUCAGGGUUUCCAGGACAAAUGCAACAGCCACAACCGAUACUGAUACCACCAUUUACUGUGUCGGGUGAAAACAAUCAAAAGUUGCAGCAUUUUUCGUUUGUUCCCAACACGGACCAUAUGAUCCCGGUGGCAACAGCACAACCGGUGCUAGGGAGUGACUACAACCUCAACUUCGCAAUCUCUUCCGGCAUUGCUGGUUUCAACAGGGGGACCCUUCAGUCCAAUUCUCCUCCUUUUUUGCCUCAUCACCUCCAGAGGUUUUCUUCUAUAGAGGGAUCACCACCAGUGGAGAACCAUCACCACCAUUAGUUUCCAGUUGGAUUAGAUUGCCGUUUGCAGCUCGGUUUCUGAAAACGUUUCCUCUUGGCCCCAUAAUUUUUCCUGAAAAGAGAAGAUAGAAGAAAAAGCUGCAGCGAGUGAAUGCGAUCCUUCCCCCUGCAUUGGGUGAUAAAUACAUUUUAUUAUUGUGCUUCUGAAUAUUGUUAGUAUUUGUGGUUUAUCCAUUGGCGUAUUGGGGUUUAAUCGUGGUGUGUUUCCAACAAACAAUUGGAUUGAAGUUAUUGUUUUCCCUAUGCUACACUACCAUUCUGAAAAUUGUCUAUAUUGUAUUGGGCAUCACCAAUGAAUUAAUUAUCUGCUUUAUAAAGCCCAACAUCCCAUGCUUCUUCAGAA